Molecule: ribosomal RNA, 379 nt
Filed under: uncultured cyanobacterium
Lineage: Bacteria; Bacillati; Cyanobacteriota
Description: bacterial SSU rRNA
Rfam family: Bacterial small subunit ribosomal RNA
Source: RNAcentral
CGAAAGCCUGACGGAGCAACGCCGCGUGUGGGAAGAAGGCUCUUGGGCUGUCAACCACUUUUCUCAGGGAAGAAGUCCUGACGGUACCUGAGGAAUCAGCCUCGGCUAACUCCGUGCCAGCAGCCGCGGUAAUACGGAGGAGGCAAGCGUUAUCCGGAAUUAUUGGGCGUAAAGCGUCCGCAGGGGGCGCAUCAAGUCUGCUGUUAAAGGUCGGAGCUAAACUCCGGUAGAGCAGUGGAAACUGGUGCGCUAGAGGGCGACAGGGGUAGAGGGAAUUCCCAGUGUAGCGGUGAAAUGCGUAGAGAUUGGGAAGAACACCGGUGGCGAAAGCGCUCUACUGGGUCGCGACUGACGCUGAGGGACGAAAGCUAGGGGAGCG